UCCCUGGAGGAAUAAUGGUUAGGCCUCGGCGCUCUCACCACCGUGGCUCGGGUUUGAUUCCCAGCCAGGGAA
Molecule: non-coding RNA, 72 nt
Organism: Pangasianodon gigas (Mekong giant catfish)
Lineage: Eukaryota; Metazoa; Chordata; Actinopteri; Siluriformes; Pangasiidae
Source: the annotation of a GenBank genome assembly